CGCAUCUGUGCAUGCAGCAUAUCAAUAAGCGGAGGAAAAGAAACUAACAAGGAUUCCCCUAGUAACGGCGAGUGAAGCGGGAAGAGCUCAAAUUUGAAAUCUUAAAGGGUUUCCCUUUACGAAUUGUAGUUUAAAGAAGUGUUUUCUGUUGAGGUUUUGGUAAAAGUUCUUUGGAAUAGGACAUCAUAGAGGGUGAGAAUCCCGUAUUUGACCUUUACUUUCAACUUUGUGAUACACUUUCAAGGAGUCGGAUUGUUUGGGAAUGCAGUCCAAAAUGGGUGGUAAAUUUCAUCUAAAGCUAAAUAUUGGCGAGAGACCGAUAGCGAACAAGUACCGUGAGGGAAAGAUGAAAAGAACUUUGAAAAGAGAGUUAAACAGUACGUGAAAUUGUCAAAAGGGAAGCGUUUGACACCAGUGUUGUUUUUCUGAAAAUCAAUUAAAGAACUGUUUAUGCUAAGCUGUUUAGACUUUAUCAGCUAACUGUUUAGUUUUGAGCUUUUCUUUAAUGCACUUUUCAGUUAACAAGUCAACAUCAAUUUCUUUUGCUGUAAAAAAGCUUGAGGAAGGUGGCUUGAGAUUCGUCUUAAGUGUUUAUAGCCUCUUGCCUAUGCAGUCGGAGAGAUUGAGGUCUGCAGCGUAGAUCCUUCGGGGCUAAAUGCAUUUGUGCUAAGUUAUAGCAUUUUAUAGACAACUUGUUGACUAUGAUUUGUCUUGUAGCUUACUCGCUUAUGUUAUUUUACCUACGCUUAGGAUGUUGAAUCUGUGCGAGACUAC
Molecule: ribosomal RNA, 774 nt
Filed under: uncultured Neocallimastigales
Lineage: Eukaryota; Fungi; Neocallimastigomycota; Neocallimastigomycetes; Neocallimastigales
Description: partial large subunit ribosomal RNA
Rfam family: Eukaryotic large subunit ribosomal RNA
Source: RNAcentral